GCCCCCGUAGCUCAGGGGAUAGAGCACCGCCCUCCGGAGGCGGGAGCGGGCGUUCGAAUCGCCCCGGGGGCG
Molecule: transfer RNA, 72 nt
Filed under: Brooklawnia cerclae
Lineage: Bacteria; Bacillati; Actinomycetota; Actinomycetes; Propionibacteriales; Propionibacteriaceae
Description: tRNA-Arg
Rfam family: tRNA
About the family: Transfer RNA (tRNA) molecules are approximately 80 nucleotides in length. Their secondary structure includes four short double-helical elements and three loops (D, anti-codon, and T loops).
Source: RNAcentral